This 449-nucleotide ribosomal RNA is filed under the name uncultured bacterium. RNAcentral describes it as "partial 16S ribosomal RNA". It matches the Rfam family "Bacterial small subunit ribosomal RNA", at positions 29 to 523 of the family's 1533-position model. The record is from RNAcentral.
AACGAACGCUGGCGGCAUGCUUAACACAUGCAAGUCGAACGAGACCUUCGGGUCUAGUGGCGCACGGGUGCGUAACGCGUGGGAAUCUGCCCUUUGCUACGGAAUAACUCAGAGAAAUUUGUGCUAAUACCGUAUAAUGUCGAAAGACCAAAGAUUUAUCGGCAAAGGAUGAGCCCGCGUAGGAUUAGCUAGUUGGUGAGGUAAAGGCUCACCAGGGCGACGAUCCUUGGCUGGUCUGAGAGGAUGAUCAGCCACACUGGGACUGAGACGCGGCCAAGACUCCUGCGGGAGGCAGCAGUGGGGAAUAUUGGACAAUGGGCGAAAGCCUGAUCCAGCAAUGCCGCGUGAGUGAUGAAGGCCUUAGGUUUGUAAAGCUCUUUUACCAGGGAUGAUAAUGACAGUACCUGGAGAAUAAGCUCCGGCUAACUCCGUGCCAGCCGCCGCGGUAA